UGGCGGACGGGUGAGUAACGCGUGGGUAACCUGCCUUACACAGGGGGAUAACACCUGGAAACAGGUGCUAAUACCGCAUAAGCGCACAGGGCCGCAUGGCCCGGUGUGAAAAACUCCGGUGGUGUAAGAUGGACCCGCGUCUGAUUAGCUUGUUGGCGGGGUAGGGGCCCACCAAGGCGACGAUCAGUAGCCGGCCUGAGAGGGUGGACAGCCACAUUGGGACUGAGACACGGCCCAAACUCCUACGGGAGGCAGCAG
This 258-nucleotide ribosomal RNA is filed under the name uncultured bacterium. RNAcentral's name for it is "partial 16S ribosomal RNA". It matches the Rfam family "Bacterial small subunit ribosomal RNA", at positions 96 to 354 of the family's 1533-position model. The record is from RNAcentral.